CUUUGGGGUGUGACUGCGUACCUUUUGUAUAAUGGGUCAGCGACUUAUAUUCUGUAGCAAGGUUAACCGAAUAGGGGAGCCGGAGGGAAACCGAGUCUUAAUUGGGCGUUAAGUUGCAGGGUAUAGACCCGAAACCCGGUGAUCUAGCCAUGGGCAGGUUGAAGGUUGGGUAACACUAACUGGAGGACCGAACCGACUAAUGUUGAAAAAUUAGCGGAUGACCUGUGGCUGGGGGUGAAAGGCCAAUCAAACCGGGAGAUAGCUGGUUCUCCCCGAAAGCUAUUUAGGUAGCGCCUCGUGAAUUCAUCUCCGGGGGUAGAGCACUGUUUCGGCUAGGGGGCCAUCCCGGCUUACCAACCCGAUGCAAACUGCGAAUACCGGAGAAUGUUAUCACGGGAGACACACGGCGGGUGCUAACGUCCGUCGUGAAGAGGGAAACAACCCAGACCGCCAGCUAAGGUCCCAAAGUCAUGGUUAAGUGGGAAACGAUGUGGGAAGGCCCAGACAGCCAGGAUGUUGGCUUAGAAGCAGCCAUCAUUUAAAGAAAGCGUAAUAGCUCACUGGUCGAGUCGGCCUGCGCGGAAGAUGUAACGGGGCUAAACCAUGCACCGAAGCUGCGGCAGCGACACUCAGGUGUUGUUGGGUAGGGGAGCGUUCUGUAAGCCUGCGAAGGUGGCCUGUGAGGGUUGCUGGAGGUAUCAGAAGUGCGAAUGCUGACAUAAGUAACGAUAAAGCGGGUGAAAAGCCCGCUCGCCGGAAGACCAAGGGUUCCUGUCCAACGUUAAUCGGGGCAGGGUGAGUCGACCCCUAAGGCGAGGCCGAAAGGCGUAGUCGAUGGGAAACGGGUUAAUAUUCCCGUACUUGGUGUUACUGCGAAGGGGGGACGGAGAAGGCUAUGUUGGCCGGGCGACGGUUGUCCCGGUUUAAGCGUGUAGGUGUGUGUUCCAGGUAAAUCCGGUUCACUUUAACACUGAGGCGUGACGACGAGGCACUACGGUGCUGAAGCAACAAAUGC
This 1015-nucleotide ribosomal RNA is filed under the name Salmonella enterica subsp. enterica serovar Agona. Its description in RNAcentral is "partial 23S ribosomal RNA". It matches the Rfam family "Bacterial large subunit ribosomal RNA", at positions 583 to 1600 of the family's 2925-position model. The record is from RNAcentral. Lineage: Bacteria; Pseudomonadati; Pseudomonadota; Gammaproteobacteria; Enterobacterales; Enterobacteriaceae.